UAGUAGAAGUACGAGGACGCAUCCUUCGGGAAGCGAGCGUACACAGGUGCUGCAUGGCUGUCGUCAGGCUCGUGUCGUGAGAUGUUGGGUUAAGUCCCGCAACGAGCGCAACCCUUGUGUUUAGUUGCAAACAGGUCAAGCUGUGCACUCUAGACAGACUGCCGUGGACAACACGGAGGAAGGUGGGGAUGACGUCAAAUCAUCAUGCCCCUUAUGAUCUGGGCUACACACGUGCUACAAUGGCCGGUACAACGGGCAGCGAAGGAGCGAUCCGGAGCGAAUCCUAAAAAGCCGGUCCCAGUUCGGAUUGCAGGCUGAAACUCGCCUACAUGAAGUUGGAGUUGCUAGUAAUCGCGAAUCAGAAUGUCGCGGUGAAUGCGUUCCCGGGUCUU
This 392-nucleotide ribosomal RNA is filed under the name uncultured Fusibacter sp. RNAcentral describes it as "bacterial SSU rRNA". It matches the Rfam family "Bacterial small subunit ribosomal RNA", at positions 998 to 1382 of the family's 1533-position model. The record is from RNAcentral. Lineage: Bacteria; Bacillati; Bacillota; Clostridia; Eubacteriales; Fusibacteraceae.